GCAGGUGUGGUGGAAUUGGUAGACACGCCAGCUUCAGGUGCUGGUGCUCGCAAGGGCGUGAAAGUUCAAAUCUUUUCACCUGUA
This 84-nucleotide transfer RNA is filed under the name Shewanella denitrificans OS217. It matches the Rfam family "tRNA". From Rfam's summary of the family: Transfer RNA (tRNA) molecules are approximately 80 nucleotides in length. Their secondary structure includes four short double-helical elements and three loops (D, anti-codon, and T loops). The record is from Rfam by way of RNAcentral. Lineage: Bacteria; Pseudomonadati; Pseudomonadota; Gammaproteobacteria; Alteromonadales; Shewanellaceae.